RNAcentral lists this ribosomal RNA (602 nucleotides) under Pleurostoma repens. RNAcentral describes it as "eukaryotic LSU rRNA". It matches the Rfam family "Eukaryotic large subunit ribosomal RNA", at positions 38 to 667 of the family's 3401-position model. Lineage: Eukaryota; Fungi; Ascomycota; Sordariomycetes; Calosphaeriales; Pleurostomataceae. The record is from RNAcentral.
GCAUAUCAAUAAGCGGAGGAAAAGAAACCAACAGGGAUUGCCCUAGUAACGGCGAGUGAAGCGGCAACAGCUCAAAUUUGAAAUCUGGCCUCGGCCCGAGUUGUAAUUUGCAGAGGAUGUUUCUGGCGCGGUGCCUUCUGAGUUCCCUGGAACGGGACGCCAUAGAGGGUGAGAGCCCCGUACGGUUGGACACCUAGCCUGUGUGAAGCUCCUUCGACGAGUCGAGUAGUUUGGGAAUGCUGCUCAAAAUGGGAGGUAUAUCUCUUCUAAAGCUAAAUACCGGCCAGAGACCGAUAGCGCACAAGUAGAGUGAUCGAAAGAUGAAAAGCACCUUGAAAAGGGGGUUAAACAGCACGUGAAAUUGUUGAAAGGGAAGCGCCUAUGACCAGACUUGUGUCUGGCGGAUCACCCAGCGUUCUCGCUGGGGCACUCCGCCAGGUCCAGGCCAGCAUCGGUUUUCGCCGGGGGAUAAAGGCUCUGGGAACGUAGCUCCUCCGGGAGUGUUAUAGCCCUCUGCGUAAUACCCUGGCGGGGACCGAGGUACGCGCUCCGCAAGGAUGCUGGCGUAAUGGUCAUCAGCGACCCGUCUUGAAACACGGACC